GAAGAAUUUGUGACCGGUCAUUCAGAAAGACAGAAAACGACGGAAAUUCGGAAACGGACAAGAGAGCAGCACUGGUGGGCAUCAGUCACGAGUUGUGGUGGUGAGAGCAGGAGCUCGAAACCUCUACUCUCUUUUUGAAGAAGAAUUUAAUUGUUCGUCAACAUAUUGAGUAUCAGGAAAAGAGAAAAGGUAAUCAGAUAUGGAAAUUGGUAGUGUUCACAUAACCCCCACUUGAUGCAUGAAUUGUAGGAUUUGAAGCUUCUCUGGUUGCUGCAGGUACAUUGUAUAAAGAAAGAGUUACACUAAGUGUGUUAGCACUAAGUAAAUGAGAUGGAAUUCUAAUCCUAAACGAAGUUUUAGACGAGCCGCAGUGAAAAAGGAUUGUUUUAAAUGGGCCACAACCCAAGAAUCUACAUAUGGGUAUUUGACUGGUCAAAAAUUGAUUUGCCAAUGAGAUUGAAUCAGUUUUUGCAGAUGGAAAUAAACCUUUUUGGACUACUGCUGUGAGACCUAAUGAUUUGCAGGAAAAUGUCACAGAGGUCCAGCAAAGAUAGGAGAGUAUGGCAUAUCGUCUCGGCAUGCACCCCUCAACAAGAGAAUAGUGAUGAGGAGGAGGAGGAAUUCGGAGAAAAAUUAGAAUACAUAUAUCAAGAGUCUUUCUAAUGAAGUGAACUACUAGUGUUAUCUGGGAACAUGAAUGCCCAUGUAGGCGAGAGUUCUGAUGGUUUUUGAAAAAAUACAUGGGGGAGGAAGUUUGGAAAGAAAAAAAAACCAGGAAGGUGAAAGGUUAUUGCAAUUAACAGAGGCUAAGAAUCUGGUAAUCUUGAAUAAUACACAGUUUGAGAAAAGGAAAAGUCAUCUGGUAACAUACAAAAGUGGACAAAAAUGAGACAAAAGGGUUCAAAAGCUGUGAAGGAAAAGAACAUAGCCAGAAGAGGGUGGAUAGAAGAUAACUACCAAACAAAAGAGGAGUAUAGACAGACAAAGAGGGAAACAGAGUGGUAGCAAUUGCAAAGGGAGAAGCCAGGAGAGAAUGGUAUAAGAUAAUGGGAACACCUGAGGGAGAAAAGAUAAUCUACAGAAUUGCAGAAGUGAGAAGAAAAGACAGGCAGGAUGUAGGAAAGGUAGGAAUUAUUAAAGAUGAAAAUUAUUAAAGAUGAAAAUAUCUUGAUUGCGGAAGAGGUAGUCAACAGAAGAUGGAGAGACUAUUAAACAAUGAGAAUGAGUGUGAAAAACUGGAAAAUGUUCCUCCAGUAAAGGACCAAUAGCAAAUAUCAGAGAGAGUGAAGUCAAGAACACUAUAAAGGAAGAAAAAGUAAAUAAAGCUGCAGGAAAGUCAGAAGUAACAUUAGAAAUAAUUAAAGCACUGUGAAAUCUAGGAAAAGCGUGGUUGCACACAGUUUGAAAAUAUCUAGGAUGCAGAGGAAAUGCCAAGGUACUUGAAUGAUGGUUGGAAGAUUGAAAUGUAUAUGCAAAAGGAGAAAUAUUUAAACCUGGGAACUAUAUAGGAAUGAACCUUUUGGAGCAUAUAUUGAAGAUACUAGAAAGAAUAGUAUCAGAAAGGUUGCGAGAGUUGACAGAUAUAUACAUAAGCAGCAGGUUAGGUUUAUGAAAG
Macrobrachium nipponense is the source of this 1615-nucleotide long non-coding RNA. RefSeq lists it as uncharacterized. Lineage: Eukaryota; Metazoa; Arthropoda; Malacostraca; Decapoda; Palaemonidae. The record is from RefSeq and is a predicted model, not a curated record. The transcript has 5 exons.